CGAAAGCCUGACGGAGCAAUACCGCGUGAGGGAGGAAGGCUCUUGGGUUGUAAACCUCUUUUCUCAGGGAAUAAAAAAAUAAAGGUACCUGAGGAAUAAGCAUCGGCUAACUCCGUGCCAGCAGCCGCGGUAAUACGGAGGAUGCAAGCGUUAUCCGGAAUGAUUGGGCGUAAAGGGUCCGCAGGUGGCAAUGUGUGUCUGCUGUCAAAGAAUGAGGCUUAACCUCAUCAAGGCAGUGGAAACUACAUAGCUAGAGUACGGUCGGGGUAGAAGGAAUUCCUGGUGUAGCGGUGAAAUGCGUAGAGAUCAGGAAGAACACCGGUGGCGAAAGCGUUCUGCUAGACCUGUACUGACACUGAGGGACGAAAGCUAGGGGAGCG
This 380-nucleotide ribosomal RNA is filed under the name uncultured Cylindrospermum sp. RNAcentral describes it as "bacterial SSU rRNA". It matches the Rfam family "Bacterial small subunit ribosomal RNA", at positions 376 to 770 of the family's 1533-position model. The record is from RNAcentral. Lineage: Bacteria; Bacillati; Cyanobacteriota; Cyanophyceae; Nostocales; Nostocaceae.